Molecule: long non-coding RNA, 1975 nt
Filed under: Volvox carteri
Lineage: Eukaryota; Viridiplantae; Chlorophyta; Chlorophyceae; Chlamydomonadales; Volvocaceae
Description: long non-coding RNA (VCAR_LNC003881)
Source: RNAcentral
CGGGGGGCACGGGAGGGCAGAUGGUGGUCUCCAUCCCUGGGUCCGGACGCUCUCCGCCUAUAUGCUGCUCACCCACCCCGCCUUCCAACCGUGGGCCCUGACGACCGCCAGCCAAGCCGGGCCCCGACUCGGCGGAAGUGACCUACCCACGGAUAUCAGCCGGAUUGUGGGCGCCCUGGGACACCUACCACCGCUCCGGGAUAUCGAGACCAGCCCCCUGUCCCCCGGCCCGUGGUGCUGGGCAACCGCGUUGUGGGGUAACCCGUUGCUCCCCAAUACCGGCGAGGCAGACCCAGACAGUUUGAACCGCCGCCCGGGCCUGGAGACGCACUUCGUGGGGAUCGCUACAUGCAGGAAACUGCAAACGGUGGGCGACCUAGUGCGGAUCUGGGACCUAGUGGUGCAUACUCGAGUGGCCUCCCUCCCCAGGUCGACCUGGCCCGAAUGGGUCAGGACACACCUCGACCCAUCAACCCCAGCACCCACGCGGGACAGGUCAGCGACCCUGGCAGCCCUUAAGACGCUACAUGGCGCUAUCAACCCGGCCUGGCUCGAAGCUGCAAGAGCAGUGGAAACCCAACAGCAACAGCAACCCCAGCCGCAGGCACAGCUGCAGCCACAGCCGCAGUCACAGCCACAGCCGCAGCCACAGCCGCAGCCACAGCCGCAGCCACAGCUGCAGCUACAGCUGCAGCUACAGCUGCAGCUACAGCCGCAGCCUCAGCCGCAGCCACAGCCGCAGCCACAGCCGCAGGUACAGCCACAACAGCUGCAAACACAACCACAGCUACAGACACAGCAUCAGCCGCAGCCGCAACAGCAGCAACAGCCGCAGCAACAGCUACAGACGCAGCCGCAUGAGCAGCAACCCCAACAGCAGCAGCCAGAGAUGCCAACGGCGGGGGACAUGGCGGCUCCAAGCACCCCCAACAGCACUCAGGCGAUGGCUANNNNNNNNNNNNNNNNNNNNNNNNNNNNNNNNNNNNNNNNNNNNNNNNNNGAAGACUCAGUACCAUCGUUCCUCCAGGCCAUGGACACCUUUGCCCGGGCAUCUGGCCAACGCCUAAAUCUCGACAAAGUGGAGCUGCUGUGGAUUGGCCAAUUAAACCAACAGCAGGCGCAACCUGCAACCCAGGCCGGGCCCCAAUCAGCUGCCCCUCAGCAGGAGUCAAUAGGAGGUCUCAAGGUGGUGACCACCGCCACCGCCCUGAACCUGCCGAUUGACAACCAGCCAUCCCCGCCACAGCCCGACUGGAUGAAGAGACUCGGGGAAGCCAAGCGGCGACUGCAGCGGCUCUCCCGCUUCCCGCUAUCAGCAUUCAGUCGAGCCACAGCGGCAUCGGUGUACGGAAUGCAGACAGUCACCUGGCACAUGGAGCAUGGUGGGCCGCCCCCCAACCGUACGCUGGACGAAAUAGAACGCCUAACGGCCCGCCUCGUCGACCGGCAGCAGGGCCCAGAAGACCCCGGCCGCCGCUUGACAGGGGUGCCUAAGGAUCUCUUGACCGGCCACCCGUCGGCUGGAGGCUUUGGCCUGCUGCCCCUCCAGCAACACAUCCAGGCUCGGCAUGCGGUAUGGGCUGUGCGCUUCAUCAUAGCGGCCCUCGGGCUAUCUAACGUGUCAUGUGGGCCAGGGACAGGUGGAGCUGCAGGAACCACAGGUGGUACCGGGGGGCACGGGAGGGCAGAUGGUGGUCUCCAUCCCUGGGUCCGGACGCUCUCCGCCUAUAUGCUGCUCACCCACCCCGCCUUCCAACCGUGGGCCCUGACGACCGCCAGCCAAGCCGGGCCCCGACUCGGCGGAAGUGACCUACCCACGGAUAUCAGCCGGAUUGUGGGCGCCCUGGGACACCUACCACCGCUCCGGGAUAUCGAGACCAGCCCCCUGUCCCCCGGCCCGUGGUGCUGGGCAACCGCGUUGUGGGGUAACCCGUUGCUCCCCAAUACCGGCGAGGCAGACCCAGACAGUUUGAAC